CCUACGGGUGGCAGCAGUGGGGGAUAUUGCACAAUGGGGGGAACCCUGAUGCAGCGACGCCGCGUGGGUGAAGGAGUGCUUCGGCAUGUAAAGCCCUAUCGGCAGGGAAGAAGCAAGACGGUACCUGACUAAGAAGCCCCGGCUAACUACGUGCCAGCAGCCGCGGUAAGACGUAGGGGGCGAGCGUUAUCCGGAUUCACUGGGUGUAAAGGGAGCGUAGACGGCCAUGCAAGCCAGGGGUGCAAGCCCGGGGCACAACCCCGGGACUGCCCUUGGAACUGCAUGGAGGGAGUGCGGGAGGGGCAGGCGGAAUUCCUGGGGGAGGGGGGAAUUGGGUAGAGAUCAGGAGGAACACCGGAGGCGAAGGCGG
RNAcentral lists this ribosomal RNA (370 nucleotides) under uncultured bacterium. RNAcentral describes it as "partial 16S ribosomal RNA". It matches the Rfam family "Bacterial small subunit ribosomal RNA", at positions 338 to 724 of the family's 1533-position model. The record is from RNAcentral.